UUGCUAUCGGGACAGGACUAAGACAUGCUAGUUUUGCGUUUCCAAGCUACGAUGGAGACGCGGCGCACAGCUCAGUAACACGUGGCCAACCUGCCCUUAGGACGAGUAUAACCCCGGGAAACUGGGGAUAAUUCUUGAUAGGUGAGGAAUUCUGGAAUGAGUCUUCGCCUAAAGGACGCUCAGAUCAUGCUUCUGUUCGUUGCCUAAGGAUGGGGCCGCGGCCGAUCAGGUUGUUGGUGAGGUAACGGCUCACCAAACCUAUAACCGGUACGGGCCGUGAAAGCGGAAGCCCGGAGAUGGGCACUGAGACAAGGGCCCAGGCCCUACGGGGCGCAGCAGUCGCGAAAACUCCGCAAUACGCGAAAGCGUGACGGGGCUAUCCCGAGUGCUAUUCGUUGAGAGUAGCUUUUCCUCAGUGUAAAGUUCUGGGGGAAUAAGGAGGGGGCAAGACUGGUGUCAGCCGCCGCGGUAAUACCAGCUCUCCGAGUGAUAGGGACGUUUAUUGGGCCUAAAGCAUCCAUAGCUUGCUGAGUCUGUCCUCCGUUAAAUCCAACGAUUUAAUCGUUGGGCUGCGGGGGAUACUGCUUAGCUAGGAGGCGGGAGAGGCCGACGGUAUUUCCGGGGUAGGGGUGAAAUCCUAUAAUCCCGGGACGACCACCAGUGGCGAAGGCUGUCGGCCAGAACGCGCUCGACGGUGAGGGAUGAAAGCUGGGGGAGCAAACCGGAUUAGAUACCCGGGUAGUCCCAGCUGUAAACGAUGCAGGCUAGGUGUUGGUGUGGCUACGAGCCGCUCCGGUGCCGCAGGGAAGCCGUUAAGCCUGCCGCCUGGGAAGUACGGCCGCAAGGCUGAACUUAAAGGAAUUGGCGGGGGAGCACCACAAGGGGUGAAGCUUGCGGUUUAAUU
RNAcentral lists this ribosomal RNA (904 nucleotides) under uncultured archaeon. RNAcentral describes it as "bacterial SSU rRNA". It matches the Rfam family "Archaeal small subunit ribosomal RNA", at positions 27 to 907 of the family's 1478-position model. The record is from RNAcentral.